UGCAAGUCGAGCGGACUCGAGUUAACUGAGCCUUCGGGGAACGAUAACGGCGUCGAGCGGCGGACGGGGGACUAAUGGCUAGGAAAUUGGCCUGAUGUGGGGGAUAACCAUUGUAAACGAUGGCUAGUUCCUCAUGAUGCCUACAGGCCAUAGAGGGGGACCUUCGGGUCUCUCGCGUCAGGAUAUGCCUAGGGGGGAUUAUCUAGUUGGUGAGGUAAGGGCUCACCAGGGCCACUAUCCCUACCUGGUCUGAGAGGAUGAUCACCCACUGUGGAACUGACACACGGUCCACACUCCUACGGGAGGCAGCAGUGGGGAAUAUUGCACUGUGGGAGCAUGCCUGAUGCAACCAUGCCGCGUGUGUGAAGAACGCCUUCGGGUUGUAAAUCACUUUCAGUCGUGAAGAAGGUGGUAGAGUUAAUGCCUGUAUCAUUUGACGUUAUCGACAGAAAAACCCCCGGCUAUCUCCGUGCCCGCCCCCGCGGAAAUACGGAGGGUGCGAGCGUUACUCAAUAUUAGUGGGCGUAGAGCGCAUGCGGGUGGUUUGUUAUCUCAUAUGUGAACCCCCGGCUCUCAACCUCAGAAUAGCUGUUGACUCUGGCACACUAGAGUACUGUAGAGGGGGGUAGAAUCUCAUGUGUAGCGGAGAAAUGCAUAGAGAUCUGAAAGAAUACCGGUGGCGAAGGCCUCUCUCUGGACAGAUACUGACACUCACAUGCGAAAGCGUGGAGAGCAAACGAGAUUAUAUACUCUGGUACUCCACCCCAUACACUGAUGUCUACUUGGAGGUUGUGGUCUUGACCCGUGGCGUUCGGAGCUAACGCGUUAAAUCUCACCGCGUGGAGAGUACGGUCGCGAGAUUAAAACUCAAAUGAUUUGACGGGCGCCCGCACAACGCGGGUGGAGCAUGUGGUUUUAUUCAAUGCCACGCGAAAAACUCUUACCUACUCUAGACCUCUCAGAGCACUCUACAGAUAUGGAUUGCUGCCUUCCGGGAACUCUGAGAACAGGUGCUGCAUGGCUGUCGUCAGCUUCGUGUCGUGAAAUGUGUGGGAUUA
Molecule: ribosomal RNA, 1058 nt
Filed under: Vibrio parahaemolyticus
Lineage: Bacteria; Pseudomonadati; Pseudomonadota; Gammaproteobacteria; Vibrionales; Vibrionaceae
Description: bacterial SSU rRNA
Rfam family: Bacterial small subunit ribosomal RNA
Source: RNAcentral